GAUGAAGAACGCAGCGAAAUGCGAUACUUGGUGUGAAUUGCAGAAUCCCGUGAACCACCGAGUCUUUGAACGCAAGUUGCGCCCGAAGCCAUUAGGCCGAGGGCACGCCUGCCUGGGCGUCACACGUCGUUGCCCCCCCAUCUACUCCUUCGGGAUUGCGGGGGGCGGAUGAUGGCCUCCCGUGCGCCUCGCCGCGCGGUUGGCAUAAAUGCCAAGUCCUCGGCGACGCACGCCACGACAAUCGGUGGUUGCGAAACCUCGGUUGCCCGUCGUGUGCGGUCGUCGCGCAUCGAGGGCUCGAAAAAAUUGCCGGGUUCCGGCUCGGCUUUCAACGCGACCCCAGGUCAGGCGGGGUUACCCGCUGAAUUUAAGCAUAUCAAUAAGCGGAGGA
This 391-nucleotide unclassified non-coding RNA is filed under the name soil metagenome. RNAcentral describes it as "partial contains 5.8S ribosomal RNA, internal transcribed spacer 2, and large subunit ribosomal RNA". The stretch from base 1 to 122 matches the Rfam family "5.8S ribosomal RNA", at positions 35 to 154 of the family's 154-position model. The record is from RNAcentral.